RNAcentral lists this ribosomal RNA (253 nucleotides) under uncultured bacterium. Its description in RNAcentral is "partial 16S ribosomal RNA". It matches the Rfam family "Bacterial small subunit ribosomal RNA", at positions 524 to 776 of the family's 1533-position model. The record is from RNAcentral.
UACAGAGGGGGCGAGCGUUGUUCGGAAUUACUGGGCGUAAAGGGCGCGUAGGCGGCCCGCUAAGUCGAACGUGAAAUCCCCAGGCUCAACCUGGGAACUGCGUCCGAUACUGGCAGGCUUGAAUCCGGGAGAGGGAUGUGGAAUUCCAGGUGUAGCGGUGAAAUGCGUAGAUAUCCGGAGGAACACCGGUGGCGAAGGCGGCAUCCUGGACCAACACUGACGCUGAGGAGCGAAAGCCAGGGGAGCAAACGGG